CCUACGGGUGGCAGCAGUCGAGAAUCUUUCACAAUGGGGGAAACCCUGAUGGUGCGACGCCGCGUGGGGGAUUGAAGUCCUCGGGAUGGUAAACCCUUGUCAAGUGGGAGCAAAUUAAAAAGAUAGUAUCAUAAGAGGAAGAGGCGACCAACUCUGGGCCAGCAGCCGCGGUAAUACCGAGGUCGCAAGCGUUGUCCGGAAUCACUGGGCGUAAAGGGUGCGUAGGCUGUUUGGUAAGUCGUGUGUGAAAGGUCCGGGCUCAACCCGCGGACUGCUCAUGAUACUGGGAGACUAGAGUGAGGGAGGGGGAACCGGAAUUCCAGGUGUAGCAGUGAAAUGCGUAGAUAUCGGGAGGAACACUAGUGGCGAAGGCGGGUUACUGGACAUUAACUGACGCUGAGGCACGAAAGCGUGGGGAGCAAACAGGAUUAGAUACCCGAGUAGUC
This 446-nucleotide ribosomal RNA is filed under the name uncultured bacterium. Its description in RNAcentral is "partial 16S ribosomal RNA". It matches the Rfam family "Bacterial small subunit ribosomal RNA", at positions 338 to 795 of the family's 1533-position model. The record is from RNAcentral.